UACAGAGGUCUCGAGCGUUAGGCGGAAUCACUGGGCUUAAAGCGUGUGUAGGCGGACCGUUAAGUGCCUUGUGAAAUCCCACGGCUCAACCGUGGAACUGCUUGGCAUACUGGCGGUCUUGAGCAACCUAGGGGCGAGCGGAACAAAUGGUGGAGCGGUGAAAUGCGUAGAUAUCAUUUGGAACGCCAAUGGUGAAAACAGCUCGCUGGGGGUUUGCUGACGCUGAGACACGAAAGCCAGGGGAGCAAACGGG
RNAcentral lists this ribosomal RNA (253 nucleotides) under uncultured bacterium. Its description in RNAcentral is "partial 16S ribosomal RNA". It matches the Rfam family "Bacterial small subunit ribosomal RNA", at positions 524 to 776 of the family's 1533-position model. The record is from RNAcentral.